GACGAACGCUGGCGGCGUGCUUAACACAUGCAAGUCGAACGGUGAAGCGCCUUCCUUUUUGGUGGGUGUGGAUGAGUGGCGAACGGGUGAGUAACACGUGAGUAACCUGCCCCCUUCUUCUGGAUAACCGCAUGAAAGUGUGGCUAAUACGGGGUAUUCUGGGUCUGUCGCAUGAUGGGUCUGGGAAAGAUAUUGUUUCGGUGGGGGAUGGGCUCGCGGCCUAUCAACUUGUUGGUGGGGUGAUGGCCUACCAAGGCGGUGACGGGUAGCCGGCCUGAGAGGGUGGACGGUCACACUGGGACUGAGACACGACCCAGACUCCUACGGGAGGCAGCAGUGGGGAAUAUUGCACAAUGGGCGCAAGCCUGAUGCAGCGACGCCGCGUGAGGGAUGGAGGCCUUCGGGUUGUGAACCUCUUUCGCCAGUGAAGCAGGCCUGCCUCGUUUGUGGGUGGGUUGACGGUAGCUGGAUAAGAAGCGCCGGCUAACUACGUG
RNAcentral lists this ribosomal RNA (494 nucleotides) under uncultured bacterium. RNAcentral's name for it is "partial 16S ribosomal RNA". It matches the Rfam family "Bacterial small subunit ribosomal RNA", at positions 28 to 507 of the family's 1533-position model. The record is from RNAcentral.